This 301-nucleotide ribosomal RNA is filed under the name uncultured bacterium. RNAcentral describes it as "partial 16S ribosomal RNA". It matches the Rfam family "Bacterial small subunit ribosomal RNA", at positions 509 to 807 of the family's 1533-position model. The record is from RNAcentral.
CAGUAGCCGCGGUAAUACGAAGGGGGCUAGCGUUGUUCGGAUUUACUGGGCGUAAAGGGUGCGUAGGCGGACUGAUAAGUCAGGGGUGAAAUCCCAAGGCUCAACCUUGGAACUGCCUUUGAUACUGUUAGUCUUGAGUUCGAGAGAGGUGAGUGGAACUGCGAGUGUAGAGGUGAAAUUCGUAGAUAUUCGCAGGAACACCAGUGGCGAAGGCGGCUCACUGGCUCGAAACUGACGCUGAGGCACGAAAGCGUGGGGAGCAAACAGGAUUAGAUACCCCAGUAGUCCCUGUCUCUUAUAC